Phyllostomus discolor (pale spear-nosed bat) is the source of this 763-nucleotide long non-coding RNA. RefSeq lists it as uncharacterized. The record is from RefSeq and is a predicted model, not a curated record. The transcript has 3 exons. Lineage: Eukaryota; Metazoa; Chordata; Mammalia; Chiroptera; Phyllostomidae.
UGUACAUACAAAGAAGAAAAGAGGAUUCACAUAAAUUUUGUAAAAUCAGAUAUAAAAGAAGAAGAACAUUACAACUGAUGCUAUACAAAUACAAAGCAUCAAUUUUAGUCCAACAAAUUGAACAACCUAAAAAUACAGAUAAAUUCUAGAAAUGUACAACCAACUGAGGCUGGAUCAUGGACAGACAGAAAAUAUGAGCAGAUUAAUUAAGAGUAAAGGCAGUGAUUUAGUAAUCAAAACCUCACAGCAAACAAAAGUCCAGGAGCAGAUCGCUUCAACAGUGAAUUUUACCAAAUACUUAAAGAAUACCAAAACUUCACAACCUGUUCCAAAAAACAAGAUGAGGAAACACUUCCAAACCCAUUUUACAAAGCCAGAAUUACCCUGAUACAAAAAACAAACAAGAAGAAUAUCACAAGAAAAGAAUAUACAGGUUAUUAUCUCUGAUAAACAUAGGCAGAAAAAUCCUUGACAAAAUAUUAGCAAACCAACUACAAUAAUACAUUUAAAGGCUCAUACACUAUGUGGGAUUGAUUACAGGGAUGCAAGGAUAGUUUAAACAUCUGAAAAUCAGUUACUGUGGGAUAUUAAAUUAACAAGAUGAAAAUGGAAAAUCAUAUGAUCAUUUCAAUAGAUGCAGAAAAUGCAUUUGACAAAACUCAGUAUAUACUCAUGAUACAAACUCUUAACAAACUGGGUAGAGAAGGAACUUAACUCAGCAUACUAAAGAUCAUGUAUGACAAUCUCACAGAUGAUACUAUAC